CGAAACCAGGCCAACGUCGCGUGCAGGAUGACGGCCCUAUGGGUUGUAAACUGCUUUUAUACGGGAAUAAAGUGAGGCACGUGUGCCUUUUUGUAGGUACCGUAUGAAUAAGGACCGGCUAAUUCAGUGCCAGCAGCCGCGGUAAUAAUUA
This 151-nucleotide ribosomal RNA is filed under the name uncultured bacterium. Its description in RNAcentral is "partial 16S ribosomal RNA". It matches the Rfam family "Bacterial small subunit ribosomal RNA", at positions 382 to 529 of the family's 1533-position model. The record is from RNAcentral.